This is a long non-coding RNA of Parus major (Great Tit), 594 nucleotides long. RefSeq lists it as uncharacterized. The transcript is spliced from 3 exons. The record is from RefSeq and is a predicted model, not a curated record. NCBI's taxonomy places the organism in Eukaryota, Metazoa, Chordata, Aves, Passeriformes, Paridae.
UUUCCCUACUGUUAGAGUAUUGAACCUAAUACCAUUUUAAUUUGAAAGGCAUAAUCAGAGUUCUGGAUGGAAGAAAAGGCAUUUUGAAACAUGACCAGUGAUACUGACCAGGGACUCCAGAAAGGGUCUAAUUGCUUCCUAUGCAACUUUUACUGUCUCUCUGGUUAGCAGAUGGUUUAUUUCUAUAGUUUUAAGUGUGUAAUAGUCAAGGUGGAAAAUAAUCAGUGUAACUUUCACAUACAACAUGGGCUCAGGAUGUUGGAAGGACUGGCCAGAGAUGUGGAUUGUCUGCUAGAUGCAUGUCCUUUUAGAGAAUCUAUAACUAGACAAAAAUGUUGUCGUCUCUCAGCUGAUGGAUGAAGGGUAGUGGAACACUGGAUAAGAUAUUAACUGAUGCAGCUUUUCAGGUUUCAGCACUGAAAUGGUGGAAGCAGCAGGGGCUGUAAAGGUGUCAAAUGUCUUGAUCAGUCACUGAAGAGGAGAAUAGAGCGUCAGUGAAAUAAGAGCAUGGAUUUCAACACAUACUUGUGUGGGUGCCAAGAACACUGUGUUCUGUUAAGUCACGGGGUGACGUCGGGCGCUGGCCACCCGCCA